RNAcentral lists this transfer RNA (65 nucleotides) under bovine gut metagenome. It matches the Rfam family "tRNA". From Rfam's summary of the family: Transfer RNA (tRNA) molecules are approximately 80 nucleotides in length. The record is from RNAcentral.
GGCGUAGCUCAAUGGUAGAGCAGCUGAUUUGUAAUCAGCAGGUUGAAGGUUCGAGUCCCUUCGCC